This 346-nucleotide ribosomal RNA is filed under the name uncultured bacterium. RNAcentral describes it as "partial 16S ribosomal RNA". It matches the Rfam family "Bacterial small subunit ribosomal RNA", at positions 338 to 700 of the family's 1533-position model. The record is from RNAcentral.
CCUACUGGAGGCUGCAGUGGGGAAUAUUGCACAAUGGGGGAAACCCUGAUGCAGCAACGCCGCGUGAAGGAAGACGGUUUUCGGAGUGUAAAAUUCUGUUCUUAGAGAAGAAGAAUGACGGGAGCUAAGGAGCAAGCCACGGCUAACUACGUGCCAGCAGCCGCGGUAAGACGAAGGGGGCAAGGGUUGUCCGGAAUUACGGGGGGUAAAGGGAGCGGAGGCGGGAAGCCAAGUCAGCUGUGAAAACUACGGGCUUAACUUUUAGACUGCAGUUGAAACUGGUUUUCUUGAGUGAAGUAGCGGUUGGCGGAAUUCCGCGUGUAGCGGUGACCUGCGUAGCUAUUCG